Molecule: long non-coding RNA, 2786 nt
Organism: Humulus lupulus (European hop)
Lineage: Eukaryota; Viridiplantae; Streptophyta; Magnoliopsida; Rosales; Cannabaceae
Exons: 4
Source: RefSeq, a predicted model, not a curated record
CCUCUUUCUAUCUUUUUCCAUCUUUUCUUUUCCUAUAUGUGUCCUCCAACCUCCCUCUCUCUCUCUCUGACCAGCCAUCUCUCCUCUCCUUUCUUUGUGACUCACUAUCUCUCCUCUCUCCCCUCUCACCUCUCACCUCUCACCUCUCACCAAUCCGCCCUCCAAACGACGCCGCCACCUCUACGACGCCGACGCCAACACUGGUACCCGCGACCCUAACUUGUCUCUCUUUUUCUGAUGAAGCGAUUCUCCCACUUCUUCUCUCACCUCUCGCUUUUCCUCGACCCCAUCCCCGUAUAUCUUCCUCAAUCUCUUGAAGAUGUUGCGCCUCCGGGGAAGACGAAGACGCCGCAUCUUUCUACCUCAUAGUGUUGUCUUCUUAUUCAACAUUUGGUAAAUCAACCCCUCAAUAUAAAUGGCUUAUUAAAUAGCUACCAAAAGUGGACAGAACAGAGACACCGUGGCUUAUUGUUCUGGUUCAUUGCCCACUAUACAAUAGUUAUGUGGAUCAUUUCAUGGAGGGGGAACCCAUGAUAGUGGUUUUUGAACCAUGAUUCGUGAAGUACAAAGUUGAUGUUGUUUUCUCAGGCCAUGUUCAUGCCUAUGAAGGAUCUCCUUGCCUCUUAUAUGACAGACGAAGAUAUCCAAAAGGGCAUACUGUAUCCAUCUAUUAAAAUCUGGGUAAAUUGCUUCCAUUGCCACUACUUCAAGCCUUUUCACUUCCACUGCUUUUUGUUGUUAUUGUUGCUGCAAACUUAUGGUAAAUUUUGUUAUUUUUCAAUAAAUUUUGUUAUUUCCUUGAACAGUUUUUGUUUUUCAUUUAUUGAAAUUUAUUCUAAUGGGUCAUUCUAUGACAAAAAUCACUACAAGAAUUUGGUAUUGAACAUCAGAAGAUCUCCUUUGCCUUUUUGCUAUUGAAGGUCCUAUAUGUCCUAUAAGUCCUAUAUAGGUGAAUUCUUACUUAUUUAUUGAGAAUGAACAAGAAAUUUUGGGUUCUUGUAUUCAAAUAUUGAUUCUCUGUUUUUUUUCCCCUUAAUUGUCCUGAUUGAUAGUAUUGUUGAGCUAUUAUAGUUUGGGCUACAAGGAUAUGAGUUUUUGCACACAAAUCAACUAGUAGAUUGACCCAAUGAUAAAAUCUCACUUGCAAAAGAAACUUUUCUUUAUUUCUAUACAAAAAUUGGCUUAUGGGGUAUAGUUGAUAUGCCUAUUUAUUGGCUUUAAAUUCUAGUUAUUACAUUUAUAUAUGAGAAAUUGGCUCAUGGGGUAUAGUUGAUUUGCCUAUUUCUUGGCUUUAAAUUCUAGUUAUUACAUUUAUAUAUGUGACAUCAACUUUCCCAUGAUCUGGGUGCUACUGUAUUUUCAUGUCUGGUGGUCUUAGAGAACAACUUUUAGUUCUUGUUUAUAGGGUCUCUAUUAUGAUCUUUAUUGCCUAAAUAAUCAUUGAUAUUUUAUUUUGCCUAAAGAUGUAAGCCUAUAUUAUUUUGCUUCAGUCUAUAUUAAUUGAUCAGGUCGCUUAUAUAAUUGAUGUUUCUCAAUUUAUUGAUUUGGACCACCCUCAUCCCCUCAAUUUUCUAUGUGAAGAUUGUGUUCAUGUUUCAGUAAAAGUUACCUGGACAACGUUAAUGCUGAUAAAUGUAUGUACCUCUAUUCAAUUAAAUCUUUAAAUUUUUAGCAUCAAAGCCUUAUAAAAUCUUGGGUGGCAUGCAGUAUAUUUUUUUUUUCAAAUAGCAUGGUGUGGCUGAUAUGACAAUUAGAGACCUAUUUCAUUUUAUAUUUGAUCCAUGUUGUAGAUGAUGGUGUGGAAAGUUAUCUUGAAGAGGUAUUCCCUUAUGUGCAGUCAAAUCUUAUUUUUAUUUUUGUAAGAAUCAUAGGAAAAAUUCUGACUGCCUUUGUUUUAUAUCAACUGCAACAAAGAAUCAUGUCGAAAAGGGACAUAGCUGUAAAGGAACAAAUUGUAGAUUCUAUAUUUGUGCAUGUAUCAUAUUCAAUAUAGAUAAAAAUAUAUCUAAGCAUUUUUUGGAUUUUUUUUCCUUUUUUUUUUCUUUCUCUGUUUUAAACAGCUUAGAUGCUGUUGAUUUGGGGUCUUCUAGCCCUUCACCUUGCUGGUUGAUUCAAUUCUACCUUUCAACUAUUGCGAACAAAACUUAUUUCUUGGUAUAGAAUGAAAAUAAGAUAUGGAGGGUUGCUAAAGCCAUCCAAAUGGCAACCAGUGAAAUAUGUAAACUUAACAACUUGUAGAAAGUAAGUGUGUAACAUAUUUUGAUUCAAUCAUAUAUAUAUAUAUAUUAAUUUAUAUAUUCAUGUAAUAGUCUUAAUAAUUGAAAGUUCCUGAGUUUAGUCCUUGAAGAGUUCUCAGUCAUGAAUGGUACUGUGUGUUAAUGGGCUUAAUAAUUGUACUUAUGUUUUCUUUACCAUUCCUAUUAAAAAUCUAUACUUUAAUAAAUAAUAUUAAUGUUAGCUUCUCUGUUCAGCUUGGCGAGAAAAAAUAACCCUAUACACACACCCAUAUUUGGACAUCCCUCCCACCUGUGUUUUACCUAUGUCCAAAUAUGGGUGUGUAUAGGGUUAUUUUUCUCUUUUCAGAAAGAAAAAAAAAAAAGAAGGGAACAAGGAUAAGAAAUGGCAAUCAACAUACUGAAGAAGCAUAGAAGAUUUGGGCUUGAAAAUUAGGAAGAAUAUUUAUAAAAGAAACAUGAUUGAGAAUUAUGUUGUCUUGUUGAGAUUUGUUGUAUUAUAUCUUUUGAAGUUUAUGGAUUUAUAAUAUUAUAAUGAAUUUUUAUUGAUAA